RNAcentral lists this ribosomal RNA (436 nucleotides) under Meloe coarctatus. Its description in RNAcentral is "partial 16S ribosomal RNA". It matches the Rfam family "Bacterial large subunit ribosomal RNA", at positions 1946 to 2595 of the family's 2925-position model. Lineage: Eukaryota; Metazoa; Arthropoda; Insecta; Coleoptera; Meloidae. The record is from RNAcentral.
CUGUGCAAAGGUAGCAUAAUCAUUAGUUUUUUAAUUGAAAGCUGGAAUGAAGGGUCGGAUGAGAAAGAAUCUGUCUCACUUUAAUUUAUUUGAAUUUUAUUUUUAAGUUAAAAAGCUUAAAUUUUAUAGAAAGACGAGAAGACCCUAUAGAGUUUAAUAAGUUAGGGUUUAAUUAUCUAAAGAUUUUAAUGUAAUUAUUUUUUAACUUGUUUUGUUGGGGUGACAUAAGAAUUGAAUAAACUUCUAAAUAUUGAUACAUUGAUUUAUGAGUAAGUGAUCCUGAUUUUUGGAUUUUAAGAUUAAAUUACCUUAGGGAUAACAGCGUAAUCUUUUUGGAGAGUUCUAAUCGAUAAAAGGGAUUGCGACCUCGAUGUUGGAUUAAAGUUAAUUUUCGGUGUAGGAGCUGAAAUUUUGAGUCUGUUCGACUUUUAAAACU